Molecule: long non-coding RNA, 951 nt
Organism: Manis pentadactyla (Chinese pangolin)
Lineage: Eukaryota; Metazoa; Chordata; Mammalia; Pholidota; Manidae
Exons: 3
Source: RefSeq, a predicted model, not a curated record
CCAGCUAUUUAUGAAUGGGCGAGAAAGGCCGGCUCCAGGAAGCUAUUGCAAGAUUGCCCUUCCCAUUGGGGUUGCCCCCACCCCACCCCAUCCCACACACUUGAACAAGCGAGCCCAAGGGGAAGGCUGCUUCUGGAGCAGGCGCAGUCUCUGGCACAGUUCCAGGCAUCUUUAGGGGUGGAAGACGGCUUCCCUACAGCCUUGAGGCCUGCUGACCGUCUGAACCCUCAGAAGGAUCCUCCGGAAGGUCUCCCCCUGUUACUGCUAAACCCACAGCACACGGGCAGCCCUCAGUGUACUGCAGCCUCCUCGCUGGAUGCAGCGAGGCACCUGUGUCACGGGUGGGAGACAGGCUGGCUCCUGCGGAGUCGUGGACUCUGGCUAGCUGCCCACCGGACACCUCCUGGUGCUUUAGCAUAGGAGAACAACUCUGCUUAUAUUCCGAGACACUUCAGAUACCCAGACCUCUUUCGAACCUCAGAUUGGUAUUAGGUCACCUACAGUAUCGGAGGACACGGGAAGCUAACAGUCUUGGCAUUGUCGUUGUCCUUGCACCAUUGUCUUAGGAAAAUGUGUAAUUCUUUGGAUUCUGAAAUACUGAGAGUAGGUCACAGACACUGAUUCCUUCUCAGUGGAUGCUCUUGCUGACCUUCGGUCCCUCACCCCGUGAACCCCUGCUGCUGGAUCCACUGCUAACAGCUUACAGCUGCUUCCUGUCAGCAGCUAACCUUCACCAACGGGCACCUUCUUGCCAGCACGGCAGUGUAUCCUCCAGCCGUGAUGAGGGCAGAUCCUGGCCACCGGCUCACUGCUGGGGUGGAGGAGGCCAGCACCCUGCUGGGAUCGCUCUUGGGUGCAGCUGACACUCCAAAGCAUUGCACGGGACCAGGGUCAGGCGGCUCCCAGCUGAGCUCACGGCCCUGCUCAGCUCCUGUGGCCUCCUUCCCUCCC